This 1710-nucleotide long non-coding RNA is filed under the name Strigops habroptila (Kakapo). RNAcentral's name for it is "lncRNA (ENSSHBG00005010019.1)". The record is from RNAcentral. Lineage: Eukaryota; Metazoa; Chordata; Aves; Psittaciformes; Psittacidae.
UUUUUUUAUUUUUCUUAGUUUUGAAGCUAAUAACGAUGUUUUCAUCUUUACUGCUUCAGGCACAGGCAAAAAGCAGAAAUCUAAGUAGUUUGAAAAAACACAAUAUUUAUCAAACAACUCAUUUGCUGGGUAUGAAAAGUGAUUUCUCAUUUCAUUGGACUUCUUUCACUUCCUUGCUAGAUAGUUUAAAUAUUUAGCAGAAUAAUAAAUAUUAGCACAAUAAUAUUGUCCUACCUAUUGGAAAGGUUAAUUUUAAAAGAGAUGUUAUUGGGGUUUUGAACCCCAGAAAGAUUCCUUUUUGCAGAUCCACACUGGUUGAUGUGUAGUGCUAGCACCAUCCAACAAUAGUCAUAAAACACUGUUUUGCUAUGUCAGGUUUCACAGACAUAGCUUUCACAGCACAGACAUAGCUUUCACAGCACAAAUUGCUACAAAAUCCCCUGAUAUUGGUCAAGGAAGGCAAAUACCACCACAAAGAAAUGCAACUUCAGGACCAAAAAAAGAGGUUCCUGCAAAACUCUGACCAUAAAGCAGAGGUUUGAAAAGUUAUGGUCUGUGGGUUUGUGAAGGUCAUUGAGGGGAAGGAAGACUCAUGACAGUAGUAACAAAAGUAGUAAAUUCAGGAUGAUAUUUCUGAGCACUGCUUGGUAUAGCUUGAAGUAGCUGUUCAUAAUUAACUUAAAUAGAAGUAGCCCAUAGCCAGAUUCUUGGGACAGUACCAGCAUAAAUACCUUCACAAUAUCACCUUUUCCCAUAAGCUGUUCCUUCGUUUUCCCACAAGAAUGGUAUGUGAAUACAAAUGAAAGACAUUGUGGUCCCGUUUUGAAUGGGAAGUGAGCUGUGUCCUGCAGUCAUAAUUAGGGAGGGCAGUGGCCCAUGAAAUCUUUUCACCAGGAGAAGAUCCACACCAUAAAAAUAUCUGCAAUCCUGUGGUAUAUGGCAUACUGUUUUAUAAUCAAUAUUCAUUCAUAACACACUAUAAAUGGGCAUUUUGUAACCUGAUGCUGAAUUUAAACUGCACUUUGUUCAAAAAGUGGUUUUGAGGGUAAUCAAGGACAAAGGACAGAGUAGGAGUUUAGAGCUUCUCUACUGAUACAAACCAGCAUAACAUGGAUGACCAGCAGGAAGCUUUUCUGUUUACCUGAAGUGUACUGAAACCUUCAACUGGCCUUUACACAAUGAAGCGUUAGAGAAGAGAUCCAGCGUCUUUGAACUAAAUUAGGUUAAUAUUAUAUGAGGACAGGAUUUUAUGAGGGUAGGGGCCGAAAGCUGUCACUUUCUUUUAAUUUCAAUAAACCAUACACAGCAUCUUUUAAAAAUUAACUAGCUCAUAAAAGUUCAUCAGUCCUGAAUUGUAAUUAAUUUCUGCGUGCAGGAAGAUCAUUUGCCCAUAGGUGUUGCUUAUUCAUUUAAAUCAGAGCCACUGCAGAUACCUGACUAUUCUAUUAAAACAGUUCUUGAUGAAGCCCAGCUUUAUUUAACAGCUUUAAACACUGAAGCAUUAAAACAAAACAGUGAUACCCAUAUACUAACACAGGUAAAAAUUGCUAUCUGCCAUUCACUGACAAGGUGUUGAGGUAGGACAGUACAUGGGGAAUUCCUGAGCUCAGCUAUAGCAUAAAGAUCCUCAAAGCCUGACGUUAGUGUAGAGGCAAAAUUCACACAUGGUGCCCUCAUAAUGGAUGUCAAAAAAAAAAAAAAAAAAAAAAA